RNAcentral lists this ribosomal RNA (324 nucleotides) under uncultured bacterium. RNAcentral describes it as "bacterial SSU rRNA". It matches the Rfam family "Bacterial small subunit ribosomal RNA", at positions 1082 to 1394 of the family's 1533-position model. The record is from RNAcentral.
AAGUCCCGAAAGGGGGGCAACCUUUUUCCUUAGUUACCGGCAAGUAAUGGUGUGGAAUUUUAAGGGGAACUGCCGGGGACCAAACCGGAGGAAAGGUGGGGAUGACGUCAAGUCAUCAUGGCCCUUACGGCCUGGGGGCUACAACAACGUGCUACAAUGGUUCGGUACAAAAGGGUUGCCAAGCCGGCGGAGGUGGAGCUAAUCUCAUAAAACCGAUCGUAGUCCGGAUCGCAGUCUGCAACUCGACUGCGUGAAGUCGGAAUCGCUAGUAAUCGUGAAUCAGAAUGUCACGGUGAAUACGUUCCCGGGCCUUGUACACACGCC